AUGUUUACCCCAGUAAGAAAAUCAUAAAUCUGCCCCUUUUCAACUAAUUUCUGGAACUUAAUAGCAUCACUAGUACAUGUUGCUUGAAAAUCCUGAUAAUAGUCCAGUUCCUGUCGUAGUUUGCUUAACUCCACGAAGUACUGUGCAAUGGUCAUCUCACCUUAGUUUGUAUUGUGAAUUUUAUUCCGUAGCUCAUAGAUUUGCGCAUCA
Molecule: unclassified non-coding RNA, 210 nt
Filed under: Hevea brasiliensis (rubber tree)
Lineage: Eukaryota; Viridiplantae; Streptophyta; Magnoliopsida; Malpighiales; Euphorbiaceae
Source: RNAcentral